GUUUUUGUAGUUGAUUGACAACGGUGGUUUUUCAGGCCGCAGGUCUCGAUGAGUCGGGCAAAAAUU
This is a non-coding RNA of Python bivittatus (Burmese python), 66 nucleotides long. NCBI's taxonomy places the organism in Eukaryota, Metazoa, Chordata, Lepidosauria, Squamata, Pythonidae. The record is from the annotation of a RefSeq genome assembly.